Molecule: unclassified non-coding RNA, 253 nt
Filed under: Blastocladiella britannica
Lineage: Eukaryota; Fungi; Blastocladiomycota; Blastocladiomycetes; Blastocladiales; Blastocladiaceae
Description: partial internal transcribed spacer region
Rfam family: Eukaryotic small subunit ribosomal RNA (bases 1-46)
Source: RNAcentral
AAGUCGUAACAAGGUUUCCGUAGGUGAACCUGCGGAAGGAUCAUUAUCAAUUACUUGUGACUGCUUCUUUUUUUGAGAAGUGGUUGUAUGUUUUUGUGCACUGUUUUUUUCUUUUUGGUUAUUUUUCUUUCUGAGAGAAAUAAUCAAAGAUGAAAAUUUGAUUUUCUUAUUAUUAUUUUUCUUAUUUACUUGUAACUUUUGUUAUAAAUAAUUAAAAAAAAGACAACUUUCAGCAAUGGAUCUCUUGGCUGUU